This 72-nucleotide transfer RNA is filed under the name Sphaerodactylus townsendi. RNAcentral's name for it is "tRNA-Ala". The record is from RNAcentral. Lineage: Eukaryota; Metazoa; Chordata; Lepidosauria; Squamata; Sphaerodactylidae.
GGAGCUGUGGUGCAGUGGUAGAAGAUCUCCUUGGCAUGCAGAAGGUCCCAGGUUCAAUCCUCAGCAUCUCCA